GAUGAACGCUAGCUCCAGGCUUAACACAUGCAAGUCGCAGGGUAACAUGAGGAAAGCUUGCUUUCCUUGAUGACGACUGGCGCACGGGUGAGUAACGCGUAUCCAACCUUCCCAUAACUACGGGAUAACCCGUUGAAAGACGGCCUAAUACCGUAUGAUAUCGUUUGCUGACAUCAAAUAACGAUUAAAGGUUUAGCGGUUAUGGAUGGGGAUGCGUCUGAUUAGCUUGUUGGCGGGGUAACGGCCCACCAAGGCGACGAUCAGUAGGGGUUCUGAGAGGAAGGUCCCCCACAUUGGAACUGAGACACGGUCCAAACUCCUACGGGAGGCAGCAGUGAGGAAUAUUGGUCAAUGGGCGAGAGCCUGAACCAGCCAAGUAGCGUGCAGGACGACGGCCCUAUGGGUUGUAAACUGCUUUUAUGUGGGGAUAAAGUGCGUGACGUGUCAUGCAUUGCAGGUACCACAUGAAUAAGGACCGGCUAAUUCCGUG
This 490-nucleotide ribosomal RNA is filed under the name uncultured bacterium. RNAcentral's name for it is "partial 16S ribosomal RNA". It matches the Rfam family "Bacterial small subunit ribosomal RNA", at positions 28 to 507 of the family's 1533-position model. The record is from RNAcentral.